Molecule: ribosomal RNA, 654 nt
Filed under: uncultured Sebacinales
Lineage: Eukaryota; Fungi; Basidiomycota; Agaricomycetes; Sebacinales
Description: eukaryotic LSU rRNA
Rfam family: Eukaryotic large subunit ribosomal RNA (bases 171-654)
Source: RNAcentral
UUGGACCCUGCCGUGUCACAAUGGCUGGUCUGAAAUGCAUGAGUGCACCCUGCCAUAGCAGCGUCUUCAGUGUGAUAAGUAUCUUCACUGACCCAAGCUUCCUCUGUGGAACACGCUUGUCUGGUGGGCUCUGGGCUUCCAACCGUCCCCAUGGACAACUCUUGACAAUUUGACCUCAAAUCGGGUGGGAUUACCCGCUGAACUUAAGCAUAUCAAUAAGCGGAGGAAAAGAAACUAACAAGGAUUCCCCUAGUAACGGCGAGUGAAGAGGGAAAAGCUCAAAUUUUGAAUCUGGUACCUUUGGUGCCCGAGUUGUAAUCUAGAGAAGUGUUUUCUGCCUUGGACCACGCAUAAAUUCCCUGGAAUGGGGUGUCAUAGAGGGUGAGAAUCCCGUUUGUGGUGUGGACUACCUUGGCUUUGUGAUACACUCUCAACGAGUCGAGUUGUUUGGGAAUGCAGCUCAAAAUGGGUGGUAAAUUCCAUCUAAAGCUAAAUAUUGGCGAGAGACCGAUAGCGAACAAGUACCGUGAGGGAAAGAUGAAAAGCACUUUGGAAAGAGAGUGAAACAGUACGUGAAAUUGUUGAAAGGGAAGCGCUUGAGGUCAGUCACAUCUGUCAGGACUCAGCCAGGCUUCUGCCUGGUGUACUUCCUGG